This 557-nucleotide small RNA is filed under the name Pan troglodytes (chimpanzee). RNAcentral describes it as "processed transcript". The record is from RNAcentral. Lineage: Eukaryota; Metazoa; Chordata; Mammalia; Primates; Hominidae.
AGGAGGGGCGGGAGGGGCGCGCAGGCGCGGACCGCCUGGCGGUACUUUGAAGAAAGACUUCUCGACGCCGGGACACUGCUGGUGGUACUCGAUGUAGCACAUCUUGGUUUGGACAGACCACAUAGUGGCCAGUGGCUGCCAUAUUGGACAGCACUGGUGUAAGAGGGUCCAUCUCUCACUCCCACAUCAAUGUCCAAUGGUUUCUCAUUCAACUGGAAAGUGAAAUUGGAAAUCUUGUGAAAGAUGAAGAAUUAUGAAUGUGGUACGUUGAACUGCUGGGCCCACCCACAAGACAUCAACAAAUGAAGGUGUGGAAGGGUUAAACCAGUUAACGUUGAACAAAGGACAAUGGAUAUGAUGAGUUACAGGCUGAGUUGUAUCCCUCCACAAUUCACAUGUUGAAGUCCUAACCUUUAGUACUUCAGGGUGUAACUUAUUUGGAAACAAGAUCAUUAUAGAAGUUAAAACGAGGUCAUUAGGGUGGGCCCUAAUCUUACUAACCUGUCCCUAUAAAAGGGAAAUUUGAACACAGUGACACCCAGAGGGAAGAUGAUGUG